Molecule: long non-coding RNA, 815 nt
Filed under: Monodelphis domestica (gray short-tailed opossum)
Lineage: Eukaryota; Metazoa; Chordata; Mammalia; Didelphimorphia; Didelphidae
Description: lncRNA (ENSMODG00000045829.1)
Source: RNAcentral
UUUCCAUGGGAACAGAAGGGAGCCGGGUUCAGGCUUGUGUUUCUGGCUCUCCCUGUUCCUGAUAAGUCAGGCCUUUGACAUGCCUCAUUGGGUUUGAGAAAAGUGAGGUUUUCUUAGCACAGAAAAGGAAGAAAAAGUGGAAGGGGGUUGGGGAUCAUACGCAUAACUCUAAGGCAGCUUUUACCAAAUGAGUAGGGCUAGGGAAAUCAUAGAGCAGUAGAAAAAAGUAGGAGUUCUCAAUUUUUUUAUGUCAUGGACCACUUUGGCCGUCUGGUGACUCCUACAUUCAUUAUGGAAGGAAAUGCCAAAUUUCAGGUGGAGCUCCAGAUUCUCUUUUUUUCUCCACACACUGGGAAGGCAAGAAAAAGAAAAUCCAUUAUAAUAUGUAUCCUCAUGCAAUGAAUUCCUCCAUUGGCCAGGUCCAAAAAGGAAGAAAAAAAAAAAGAAAAAGUCUUCAUUGCUUCCCACCAGGACUAUUUCAAUAGACUGCUGGCUAGUCUUCCUGCUUUAGGUCUCACCCACUCACUUCAUCCACCAUUCAGCUGUUGGACUGAUCUUUCUAAAACCCAGAUCUGACAACUGCAUGACAACUGACAACUCUAAAAAAAUUUUGUUAGUUUUUUUAUGUUACAUGUCCAUAAAAAUUUUAAUAAUAAUUUUUGCAAUCCAUAUUUUCUCCCUUUCUCCCAUUCCUAUCAUCUCCCUAAGAUGGCAAAUAAUGUAAUAUAGGUCAUACAUGUGUUAUCAUACAAUGUAAUUUUCCAUUUUCAUCAUGUUGUGAAAUAAAACAUAUACUCACACUAAAGAAAAAUUCA